GACCGGCUAGCUUAGUCAAUAGAGCAUGAAACUCUUUAUCUCAAGGUCGUGGUUUCGAGCCCCACGGAAGUUU
This is a non-coding RNA of Cordylochernes scorpioides, 73 nucleotides long. Lineage: Eukaryota; Metazoa; Arthropoda; Arachnida; Pseudoscorpiones; Chernetidae. The record is from the annotation of a GenBank genome assembly.